Molecule: ribosomal RNA, 488 nt
Filed under: uncultured bacterium
Lineage: Bacteria
Description: partial 16S ribosomal RNA
Rfam family: Bacterial small subunit ribosomal RNA
Source: RNAcentral
ACUCAAAUGAAUUGACGGGGAUUCGCACAAGCGGUGGAUUAUGUGGCUCAAUUCGUCGACAAACGAAGAACCUUACCAAGGUUAGAAAUCCAACUGCAUACUUUUCGAAAGAUUAGUAGCCUUCGAGGGUGUUGGACAGGUGUUGCACGGUCGUCGUCAGUUCGUGGUUUGAACUGUUCCCUUCAGUGGGGUAACGAACGCAACCCCCGUUGCCUGUUGCCUAUAUGGCCAGGCGAGACUGCUCCCUUGCGGGAGAGGAAGGUGGGGAUGACGCCAGAUCAGCGUGACCCUCUGAUACCUUGGGCUGCACACAUAAUACAAUGGUUGGUACAACGGGAUGCAAGACCGCAAGGUGGAGCAAAUCCUUCAAAACCAACCUCAGUACGGAUUGAGGUCUGCAACCGACCUCAUGAAGCUGGAAUCGCUAGUAAUGGCAGGUCAGCCAAACUGCCGUGAAUACGUUCUCGAAUCUUGUACACACCGCCCGU